This is a long non-coding RNA of Bombus terrestris (buff-tailed bumblebee), 429 nucleotides long. RefSeq lists it as uncharacterized. The record is from RefSeq and is a predicted model, not a curated record. Lineage: Eukaryota; Metazoa; Arthropoda; Insecta; Hymenoptera; Apidae. The transcript is spliced from 2 exons.
GGACGUGUAUCCGUGAUACAUGGCGAAUCCAACGAUGCGCAUGCGCAAACCUUUUCACACAAGCUAAUUCAGUUGGGACCAGGAAACAGAGAAACGUUACUCGCUGGAUAAUUUCACUUUAAUUAGUGUGAACGUGAUGGUUUAACUCGAGUAGUGAGUUGUACGUGGAACUGAAUGAAUAUUUUGGUGAAGAUAGGAUUAAUUGGGAUUAACCUCUAACGCUCCGACUUUUAACUGUGAAUAUCGACCGGCAACUUCAACUUAUUCUCAUCAUGCUUCGACUUGCAAGUUUUUAAGUGUCAGAUUUGAAAUGCUACAAUGACGUGCAGAUAAUAAUAUUAAAGUCAUUCAAAACAAUCUUAAUUCAUCUGAGAAGUAAUAAUUUUGAUUACAAUACUUAUAUUAAAUAUAAACGAGUAAUGUGUGGAA